RNAcentral lists this ribosomal RNA (443 nucleotides) under uncultured bacterium. RNAcentral describes it as "partial 16S ribosomal RNA". It matches the Rfam family "Bacterial small subunit ribosomal RNA", at positions 338 to 795 of the family's 1533-position model. The record is from RNAcentral.
CCUACGGGAGGCAGCAGUGGGGAAUAUUGGUCAAUGGGCGCAAGCCUGACCCAGCAACGCCGCGUGAAGGAAGAAGGCUUUCGGGUUGUAAACUUCUUUUCUCCGGGACGAAGCAAGUGACGGUACCUGAGGAAUAAGCCACGGCUAACUACGUGCCAGCAGCCGCGGUAAUCGGUAGGCGGCAAGCGUGAUCCGGAUGUACUGGGUGUAAAGGUCGUGUAGGUGGGGAGGCAAGUCAGCUGUGAAGACGCCGGGCGCAACGUGUGCCCUGCAUUUGAGACUGUGUUGCUUGAGUACGGGGGAGGCAGGCGGAAUGCGUGGUGUAGCGGUGAAAUGCGUAGAUAUUAGGAAGAACACCAGUGGCGAAGGCGGUCUGCUGGACCGCGACUGACGCUGAGGCGCGAAAGCGUGGGGAGCAAACAGGAUUAGAUACCCUGGUAGUC